CAAAAAGUUAGCCUGGCGAGGGGAGGAUGAUGAGAUUACCCCUCUUGUCACAUAAACAAGGAAGUAAAGGAGGCCCCUUGUGCUCUCAGAACUCCAAGCAUGAAACGAUUUUCUGCCAUUUCAGUUCCUGUUAUCGUGCUUUGAGGUGCACUGAACUGCAGCAAACCCAGAGGAUCCAAGGCUACGCUGAAAAGCCUCUGACCACAGUGCAGGGAGCAGAAGACAUUAAUGACAUGAUGUCGACACAACCCGCACUCAGGAUCCUCCAGGAAAAGAACACAGAGAUAACCCCGGAUCGAUGGUACUUUUUGAAAAUGCUUUACUGCAAAAGAGUGGCUAGGGUUUUACAAGGGCUAUGAAGAAACAUAUUAAGGUUAAUAAAGCUUUUUAUUGAGUGUUUA
RNAcentral lists this non-coding RNA (401 nucleotides) under Pan troglodytes (chimpanzee). Lineage: Eukaryota; Metazoa; Chordata; Mammalia; Primates; Hominidae. The record is from RNAcentral.